Molecule: ribosomal RNA, 398 nt
Filed under: uncultured bacterium
Lineage: Bacteria
Description: bacterial SSU rRNA
Rfam family: Bacterial small subunit ribosomal RNA
Source: RNAcentral
AGCGAACGCUGGCGGCGUGCCUAACACAUGCAAGUCGAACGGGAAUACUUUCGGGUUAGUACCGUGGCGAACGGGUGAGUAACGCGUGGGUAAUCUACUCUUUGAUGGGGGAUAACCAUUCGAAAGGAUGGCUAAUACCGCAUAAGACCGAGAAGACGAGAGUCAUCAUGGUGAAAGGGGGCGUAAGCUCCUGUCGAAGAAUGAGCCUGCGUCCCAUUAGCUAGUUGGCGGGGUAAUGGCCCACCAAGGCUUAGAUGGGUAGCUGGUCUGAGAGGAUGAUCAGCCACACUGGGACUGAGACACGGCCCAGACUCCUACGGGAGGCAGCAGUGGGGAAUAUUGCGCAAUGGGGGAAACCCUGACGCAGCAACGCCGCGUGGGUGAAGAAGGCCUCGGUU